ACAACCCGCCGAAAGGCGGGCUAAACCCGCGUACAUGCCACCGGGGCAUCCCGGAGGCAGGAAAGGCUUCGGCCGGACAAGGAUGGGCAUGCGGCGCAUUAGGCAGUAGGCGGGGUAACGGCCCACCUAACCGACGAUGCGUAGGGGUUCUGAGAGGAAGGUCCCCCACACUGGUACUGAGACACGGACCAGACUCCUACGGGAGGCAGCAGUGAGGAAUAUUGGUCAAUGGUCGGGAGACUGAACCAGCCAAGCCGCGUGAGGGAUGAAGGUACAGAGUAUCGUAAACCUCUUUUGUCAGGGAACAAAGGCGGGGACGUGUCCCCGGAUGAGUGUACCUGAAGAAAAAGCAUCGGCUAACUCCGUGCCAGCAGCCGCGGUAAUACGGAGGAUGCGAGCGUUAUCCGGAUUUAUUGGGUUUAAAGGGUGCGCAGGCGGUCUGUUAAGUCAGCGGUCAAAGCCCGGGGCUCAACCCCGGCCCGCCGUUGAAACUGGCAGUCUCGAGUUGGAGAGAAGUAUGCGGAAUGCGCGGUGUAGCGGUGAAAUGCAUAGAUAUCGCGCAGAACUCCGAUUGCGAAGGCAGCAUGCCGGCUCCACACUGACGCUGAGGCACGAAAGCGUGGGUAUCGAACAGGAUUAGAUACCCUGGUAGUCCACGCAGUAAACGAUGAAUGCUGGCUGUCCGGGGGGACUGACCCCUGGGUG
RNAcentral lists this ribosomal RNA (705 nucleotides) under uncultured bacterium. RNAcentral's name for it is "bacterial SSU rRNA". It matches the Rfam family "Bacterial small subunit ribosomal RNA", at positions 143 to 845 of the family's 1533-position model. The record is from RNAcentral.